GAAACAUUCGACUCGGCCUAUCGAUAGAGACCGACAAUCCAUUCAUACCCAACAAUCUAAAACAUUUUAUGUCAAACGAUUAAACAGUUUAAUGCUGAUAACAGUGAUUUCAAAUGUGAAAUAAAAAAAUCCAUAUAAUUGUGUAUUUAUUUUAUUUUUGCAUUCGUCUCACCCAAGGAAAACGUACUAUUCGUUGACAAAGAAAAAAAGUAAAGAAAAUUAUAAGGAUUCAAAACACGCACAUUAAAUAAACCACUGCCGCCUGCCUAAAAAAGGGAAAGAAAUCAAAUAAAACACUUAAUAAGAAGGCAAAGAAAACGUAUAACAAAUUGCAAAUAAACAACUUACAAAUAACGUACGGGACCCUCAUUCACUUCUUUCAAACUGAGGUGGCAUUAUUUAACAGUGUGUAAAUUAAAAAACAUUAAAAUAAUACGGGUUAAAAAGCAACAGAAUGGAUGAGGAACACGACGACGAAAGAAUAUGAAAUUAAAUGGGGCUUUAAAGCCCCGCCAAGGAGCCUCCAAACUAGGAAGCUCCCCUGGUGUUGUCCAAAAAAAGUAUCGCGUCAAGCGAUAUUAUAAGGUGAAUGAAAAUGUAGUUAAAGGUCUGCCACUUAGUGAAUGUGGUGUGAAUAAUGAACAUUUUACUGAAAUCAUAAAUACUAGAAAAAAUAUAAAUAUUUAUAAAUAUAAUAAUCAGCAGCAGCAUACAACACCACUAGCACAACAACAGCAGCAGCAGCCGCAAAAAAGGAAUAUUGGUGAACAUUUUAGUAGCAGCAACAACAGAAGCUUAAGUAGUUGUAAUAUUUUAACUUCUACAGGAACCAAAAAGCAAAAUAAUUCAAAUACUACACAAUAUAGUAUUUCUUCAGUUACAAUCACUAGGUCUAGUUGUAUUGAUUCGAAUAGCUGUAAAAACAAAGACAAAAUUAAGCAAACAACAAAAACAAGUGUAGCAGCGAAGACUGCAGCUGCGGCAGAGAUUGUAGCAAUAGAAAAAUAUAACAAAAAGAAAACAAAAAUUGAAAGUGAUUUGAAGCAAAGAGCAAUCAACAACAUCACAACACGUCAACUUAAGAAUAUAACGAAUAUAAACAAAGAGAGGAAUAAUAGCACAAAUAACAAGAGCAGCAGCAACAAGAAAACAAAAGAAGUUGAAGUCGUUAAAACGACAUUUAAUACUUCAAAGUAUCACGUAAUUGUUAAUAAAAACAACAACAUCAGCAGCAGCAACAGCAACAGCAGUGAGGACAAUAUUUAUUAUAAGGAGGUCAACAAGCCCUUAUUAAUAAUUCCGAAAUUUUAUGAAAAUCUCAAUUUGACAGACUUAAUUUCGCGGUUAUUUAUUCAUUUAAAAUUGUUGCUUUUCUUUGUGUUCCCGCACGCUAUUAAACAUUUGACCGGAAAUCCAUUCGCUCGUAUAGUAAGUUAUCGUAGCUUCGGUUUGAUUGGUUAUAAUUUAGCGAAAAUCAUGCGUGCCUCACAAUCGUUAGAGAGUUCAUUUGAACGCAUUUGUUUUAAAAAUGUGAACAAAACCCCUUUAUCCCCCUCUAUUGCCUUAUGCUUGUUGGUAUACGCAGCAGUUGCCAUUUUGCUGCCUCAGCCAGUAGUCGGCGAUGAUGGCGAUUUCUUUCCAAUCAGUGGCUUAGAAACCACAACUCCGGAAUUCGAUUAUGCCAGUCGUGGCCAAAAAAAGUUCGGAGAUAAAUGCGAAAAUACUUUAGAAUGUGGUUUCCCUGGCUCCAUCUGUGAUCCAAAGAAAAAAUCAUGUCAGUGUACAGAGGAUUUGCCGGUAACUAAUCACAUUGAUAAAUGUGGUAAAGAGGCCGCGGUAAAUGAAACCUGUUUCUUUAAUGAACAAUGUGAAGUGAAAUACUUUCAAACAGAAUGUCGAGAUCAACGGUGUGUAUGUCGUUUUGACAUGACACCCGUUUGGUUGAAAGAUGGCUCUGUUGAGUGCAAAGGACGUGGCGAUAAAAAAGGACCCGAAACGUAUAUAGAUCCAGCAAUGAUUGGCGUCCUGAUUGGUAUGGCAUUAAUGUUUAUCAUUAUAUGUGUGGUUUUAAGAUUGUUUAGUCAGGCACGUUGGCGCGAAAAUCGUACUAUCUUCAAUACACCAAAUCCACGCUUGAUGAAUGUGUCGCUUUUGCGUGAGAGUAAACUAUUGCACGGACAAGAACGACGAGGAUCUCGAAUGUCAGUAAGAGCACCAUCUCGUCAACCAAGUAUGGCAUCAUUGCGACCGCAUUCCCCUAAUCCGUCGUUAGGGCGUAUGACGCGUUCUAAAAGUAAUACUCGAUCCAGUGAUUCUCGCGUUAGUGAUGCAUCAAACUGCUCACGUUUGCUUGAGCACCAUACAGCCAACACACACCAUGCCUCGCACACGCAUGCGAAUACAACCCUACCACAUGCUAGUACGACCAAUCAUGGCCCACAAACAAGUGUGUCACCAUUAUCUAUAAAUGCUCCAACCACAACUAUAACAUAUGUGAAUCAAACACCUGUGGCUGGAAAUACUGCCUGCAGCUUAAAUUUGAUGACUCCACCGCCAACAAUUACUAAUAAACCAAAUAAAUUUUAAUUUAAUUUAAUUAUAAAGAAUCGAAACACGAUGAAAAAAAAAAACAAACAUAUCAUCAUAUUCUUCAAAAAAAUAAAAAAAAUAAGACAAUUGUAAACGAAACCCUACGAGGCUCACGCUCGAAUUCACAUGGUAGUAAUGCAUCAGCCACCUCAUUAAGAUCAACGCGUAGUAAUUCUGUUUCUCCAGCAGGUAUCGUUGUGAAUAACUCCCAUCAUGAGAGGAAAGGUUCAACAUACCAGCCACAUCAGCAUCAGCAUUCAGCACAACAGAAAAACCAACAGCAA
This 2873-nucleotide unclassified non-coding RNA is filed under the name Lucilia cuprina (Australian sheep blowfly). Its description in RNAcentral is "uncharacterized LOC111690628, transcript variant X6". The record is from RNAcentral. Lineage: Eukaryota; Metazoa; Arthropoda; Insecta; Diptera; Calliphoridae.